RNAcentral lists this ribosomal RNA (253 nucleotides) under uncultured bacterium. RNAcentral describes it as "partial 16S ribosomal RNA". It matches the Rfam family "Bacterial small subunit ribosomal RNA", at positions 524 to 776 of the family's 1533-position model. The record is from RNAcentral.
AACGUAGGUGGCAAGCGUUAUCCGGAAUUACUGGGCGUAAAGGGUGUGCAGGCGGGGAUACCAGGGGGGGCUUAAAUCUCCCAGCUUAACUGGGAGCGGUUAUGCCAGACCGUAUUUCUAGAGGACGAGAGAGGGGGGUGGAAUUCCGGGUGUAGUGGUGAAAUGCGUAGAGAUCCGGAGGAACCCCAGAGGCGAAGGCGGCCCCCUGGCUCGUACCUGACGCUCAGCCACGAAAGCAUGGGGAGCGAACGGG